GUCGGGGAAAUGUUGGGAGCACUGCACUGAGCACAACGGCCGAGGAGCGCGUUCCCAGCGCCCCGUCAAUGUCAGGAAAUAUGAGACGAUAAAAAUGGUAAACAAACAACAUAGGCGAAAAAAUACAGUUUAGGAGGAAGUUAAAGCGAGAGUUAGAAAUAGAAGAAGAUUAUAAAGAGUGGAUAAAACGUGGUUGAUCGAGACAGUCGAAGAGCAUCUAGCUGACGGUGGUUGGAUUUAUUUGAUUAGCUAAAUUAGGAGAUAAAAGCAACAGAAAAGUUAAAAUUAACAUUAAAGUGCAGCACAGAGCACGAUUAACAAUUAACCGUUGAUGCGAAAGGCGUAAAAAAGGCUAAAUCUGCAAAGAGGGAAUCACGGAACUAAAAUUGUAAGUGAUUCAUACUAGAGUUAAG
Long non-coding RNA from Wyeomyia smithii (pitcher-plant mosquito), 413 nucleotides. RefSeq lists it as uncharacterized. The record is from RefSeq and is a predicted model, not a curated record. The transcript is spliced from 3 exons. Lineage: Eukaryota; Metazoa; Arthropoda; Insecta; Diptera; Culicidae.